UGGGGAAUAUUGCACAAUGGGCGCAAGCCUGAUGCAGCCAUGCCGCGUGUAUGAAGAAGGCCUUCGGGUUGUAAAGUACUUUCAGUCGGGAGGAAGGUGGUAAGGUUAAUAACCUUAUCAAUUGACGUUACCGACAGAAGAAGCACCGGCUAACUCCGUGCCAGCAGCCGCGGUAAUACGGAGGGUGCAAGCGUUAAUCGGAAUUACUGGGCGUAAAGCGCACGCAGGCGGUUGAUUGAGUCAGAUGUGAAAUCCCCGGGCUUAACCCGGGAAUUGCAUCUGAUACUGGUCAGCUAGAGUCUUGUAGAGGGGGGUAGAAUUCCAUGUGUAGCGGUGAAAUGCGUAGAGAUGUGGAGGAAUACCGGUGGCGAAAGCGGCCCCCUGGACAAAGACUGACGCUCAGGUGCGAAAGCGUGGGGAGCAAACAGG
RNAcentral lists this ribosomal RNA (429 nucleotides) under Chloroflexota bacterium. RNAcentral describes it as "Chloroflexi bacterium partial 16S ribosomal RNA". It matches the Rfam family "Bacterial small subunit ribosomal RNA", at positions 355 to 776 of the family's 1533-position model. The record is from RNAcentral. Lineage: Bacteria; Bacillati; Chloroflexota.